This 215-nucleotide long non-coding RNA is filed under the name Capsella rubella. RNAcentral describes it as "long non-coding RNA (CRUB_LNC004100)". The record is from RNAcentral. Lineage: Eukaryota; Viridiplantae; Streptophyta; Magnoliopsida; Brassicales; Brassicaceae.
UCAUAUUGGCUUCAGUGUAUAUGCGACAAUGACUUUUGGUUGCCCCAAAAGACAUGAAAGCUGUCGUUGUCUCUGCAAUGGCACGAAAUUUGUGUGCAUUUCAAGGCUGCACUCUCGGCAGCCGAGGUUUCUACUCUUUGCAUGAAAGUUAUGUUUUUAAUUUUUAAUCCAAAACUUUGUUAAUAUUUUUUGAAUAAAUGUAUAUCAUAUUUUUU